AACGUAGGCGGCGAGCGUUAUCCGGAUUUACUGGGCGUAAAGGGUGUGCAGGCGGGCUGUUAAGUGGUGUAUGAAAUAUCCCGGCUCAACCGGGAGAGGUUAUGCCAGACUGGCAGUCUAGAGAGCGAGAGAGGGACGUGGAAUUCCGGGUGUAGUGGUGAAAUGCGUAGAGAUCCGGAGGAACCCCAGAGGCGAAGGCGGCGUCCUGGCUCGCAUCUGACGCUCAGACACGACAGCAUGGGGAGCGAACGGG
RNAcentral lists this ribosomal RNA (253 nucleotides) under uncultured bacterium. RNAcentral describes it as "partial 16S ribosomal RNA". It matches the Rfam family "Bacterial small subunit ribosomal RNA", at positions 524 to 776 of the family's 1533-position model. The record is from RNAcentral.